GUUGUGUGUUUGGUAUUCAAAUAGAUCCCCUUUUGAUGAGUAAGCAAUAGCCCCACCCCUUUAAGAGAAGGGCUAAACUCAUAUGUGCAUAUUCUUAGUUGAGCAGGUUGCAAAGCAGCAAGUUGAUCUCUAACUUGCUCCCACUAAUAGCUGGAAUACUACAGACAGAUUGUAAACACACAACUUUCACAGCAGGGGUGUGCUAUUGCUGCUUUUACUCUGCCAUAGGAGUUGGCACAAGAUAAACAGUUUCUUCUGCAGGUAUCAACUGCGAUCAAGAUGGGCAAUGAGCAUUCUAAAAACAAGGCUGAGCAGGCUCCAGAAAAGCCCCUGCAUGGAGGAUUGAAUGGCCAUGCUGUAAGCAUCUCAUCCAAUGGCCUGGAGAAUGUUAUCAGUGAAGCAGCUGUGGAGCAGAACAGUAUGCCUCCCUCACUGCCUCCCUCUGAAGAGUCAGGUAUAGUGGAGGCAGAUGGCAGUGGUCUUGGGCCUGUGGUGGUGGAACAGAAGUCUGCCAUCAAGGAGGUUCCAGAAGUGGAACCAGAGACACAGAAUGCUAAGACUCAAAACACACCGGAACCAGAACUGGAACCAGCCACCCAAGAGAAGGAGGAGCCCAAGAACAGUACGAAAGAAAAAGUGAACAUCUUUGAAAAUCUGUUCAAGAAGAAAGCUAAGCCUCAACCCACCCCCAACCCGGAUCCAGCCCUGGAAAAGGAGGAAACCAUAAAGGACAAGAUUGUGGAGGAGAUUGAAAGUUCUGCAGAAGAUCAGAAAGUCCCUGUGGCUGUGACCGAUGGGAUCCAAGCUGAGCCACUUGCUGAGGUAAAGGAGGAUACAGAGACUUCAAAGGAGCGUCCCAACCCUAGUCCAGAGGCAGAGGAGGUCAAAAGCCCCAAAAUUGCAGAGGAAAGCAGUCACAUUCAGGAAAACCAAGAGGGAGAGAGUCAAACAGAAGAGAAUCCAGUUAUGAACUUCUUCAAAACACUAGUGACUCCCACAAAAAAAAACAAGCAAGAAACAGCCACCCCUGCUGUUGCAAAAGACCAGAAAGAGGCCCAACCAACAACAACAACUACUGCUGCACAACUAGUGGAUGCUCCAGCAACAGCCAAAGGAGGAAUGUCAAUCCCACCAGCCCCAGCCCCAGCCCCAUCCCCAGCCCCAGCCCCAGCCCCAGCCCCAGCCCCAGCCCCAGCCCCAUCCCCAGCCCCAGCCCCAGCCCCAGCCCCAGCCCCAGCCCUAGGCUCAUGUAAGAUGGAGGUUAAAGCAGAACUAGCUGCCCAAUCUGUGACCAACACACCAAACGAAGAACCAAAGGGUGCUGCCAAAGAACCAGAGGCCGCCAAGCCGAAAUCUGACCGCCCGUUCAGCAGACUUUUCAGCAGAAAGACAGUGGAACCAGUGGAGCCACAGCCGGUUGUGGAAGUACAGACAGUGGAACCAGUGGAGCCACAACCGGUUGUGGAAGUACAGGUAAAAGGAGAGAACUCUUGGCAUACUCCAUCCUCACGUGCCAUCUUUGUCUCUUUCUGUUGGGUUGCAUGGUGAAAAUGGGUGUUCAUGCUAUCAGUUACAGAGGAGGCUGGUGGGAGGAGCUAUAAGAUGACAGGCUUAUUGUAAUGCCUGGAAUGGAAUAAAUGGAAUGGAGUAAAAUAUGUUGUUUGCAUGUGUUUGUGUUUGGUACCAUUCCAGGGACUCCAUUCCAUCAAUUACAAUGAGCACAUCCUCCUAUAGCUUCUCUCACCAGCUUCCUCUGAUCAGUUACAAGUUGUUUCAUUCAUCUCAGCAAUAAAGUGGUGCUAAGGGGCAAAUCACAUAAUAUCUAUUUUACAGUACCAGUUUUGGUACCUGAGUAGAGAUUUUUAUCACCCUCUUAUCUCUUUCUUUCUUAUCUGUUUUAGUGGGUUAUUUUCUGGUUCUUCCAGGUGGUGGACUCUUGUGGGCUCUUAGACCUUCCUUAAUUAAUCCUGACAAUGGUUUAUAAUUAAGUUUUCUCUUUUGCUGUUUCGGUAAAGAAUGUAGACUUCUCAAAGACGGCCACUCUGGAGGCCUCUGCCACACUAGAACCACCACCACCAGAGGAAGAGAAGACACCUGCUGCCUCCAAAGCCUCUCCUUUCACUUCCUUUUCUCUUUUCAAGACAAAGGUAAGGCAGACAUUUUACUCACAUCUCACUUUGUUUCUCAACGGGAACUACUCAUGAAAUGUAAUUUUGGAAAUACAAGAAAAUGUGUACAUGUGAUAAACAAUAACAGAAUGGUGUGAUAAUUUGAGGACCUGCUAAACCAAAUGGCCUCAAAAGCCCAGACAGCUUCAACAAGUGGAGUCCGACAACUCAAGAAACCUUUCAAAGGGCUAAAUGACAAUACUUGCCAGCCAGUGUGAAAUUAACAAGAGUGAUCUCACUGUGUUCAGCUUAUGCUAUGCUGGUACUACCAUGUUGAAGUAUCCUGCACAAAUAAUGAAAUAUCCUCCAUAAAUAAUGAACAUUAUUUGGUACAGCAAUUGAUAUGUUGCAUGCACAUGAUAGCGAAAACAGCUGGUAGUGAUACUUUCUAAUUUCUCAUCAUUUUAUGAUAUUUACCAGCCAGAGCAAUGCUCCCAUUUAUGUAGUCAUUCCAUUAUACAGCCACUAUUUAAUUGCAUCAGUUGUGCUCUUGUAUUGUGCUAGUCAGUGUGAUAAUGUGUGUGCUCAGCUUUUUUAACUGGUGAGAGCCAGGAGGCAACAUCAUAUUGGAAGCCCAAUGGCUUUAAGAGGAACAUUAAAUGACCCAAAUUACACUUUGAAAUUGAUCUCUUGAUUAUUUGUCAUAAUUCAAUUAGGCAGCUGUGCCAAAAAAGGAAGUCCCUGCCCUAGCUGCAGAAGCGGUAGUUGAACCAAGUGUAGCCAAGGACGAACCAAAGGCCCCAGAGGACCCUGCUGUGGACAGCAAGCCCGUGUCAGAGCCCUCCGAGGUUAUGGAGAAUUCCCCCGUCCUCCCUAAGAGACUGGAGAAGAGGAACUCCAUCCACUUGUUCUUCAAAAACCUGGGCAAACGCCAGUCAGAUGCAGGAGUACAAACAGAACCAGAGAAGACCAAAUAAAACAGAAACACCCUUUCAAACAUCACAUGCCAUAUCUGGAAAUGAACUUUUGAUUUGUUAGAUACAUUAUGUUUCUGAUCACACUAUUGAUGUGGUAAGAGCAAGUGGUUUGAGGGAGAGAGGUGGACUGUGGACUAGUCUGUUCUAGUCUAAUCUUUGUGGACAAUUUCAGAGAAUUGUUCUUUGUGGAGGAGGUAAAUAUAUUUUCUGGUUUUAAAGGCUUGAUAGGUAGAGAAAAGUGGUUUUGUAACAUAUACUGAGAGCAAAAUCAAUUUUCUAUACAGUAUGUACCCUUCUUUUAACAUACAUGUCAAACUCAUUCCACGGAGGGCUGAGUGUCUGCUGGUUUUUGUUCCUCCCUUGAUUGAUUAAUUAAGGUCACUAAUUAGUAAAGAACUCCCCUCACCUGGUUGUCUAAGGUCUUAAAAACGAAACACUCGCAGACACUAAGCCCUUCAUGGAAUGAGUUUGACAUCCCUGCUUUAACAUAUUAAUGUGUAAGGAUCUAAUGCAAAUAUUACGUUUAGCAUAUUUUUUUCCCUCUAUACGCAAUUUACUAGUCUGAAAAUAACUUGUGGAGUGCAUACAAUGGUUUCAGAUACAUUCAUAGGACGUCUUGGAGAAGAGAUGCAUAAAGCUUAGCUUGGAAUAGAGAGAUAGUAAUGGAAUAUACUCCAAAUGUAAUGGAGGAGUUGGUGAAAUGGUGGAUAUUCCUGCCAAGAUGUUUUUAUUUAGGCUAGACACAUGCAACUUACAAUGUAGGCUUUAAACUUUGCAGGAACUGUACACGGAUGCAAAUAUAUGCCAAACACUAAAUUACAAUAUAUGAUUAUAAUCAUACACAGGGGGACCUCACAAUCAUUACUUUUUUUGGGAACUACACAGAUCAUCUGGUAGUCUAUAUAGCUAACUGCACAGUCAUGAAUCAUAUUUGAUUAACGUUUCACUGAAGUAUAAAGGUUUGUUCUAAUUUGAGUGCACUGCUUUACAUGUGUGUGCCUGUUUGAAUGCAGAUGUUAUAAUCUUGGGUAUCUUGUCUGUUAAUUUCUGCACCUAUAAUUUGAUAAACUGGAUCUGGAAGUAGAAUAUUUAUUGUGACAGCAAUUUCCGAAUCAUGACAACCUGCAAUGGGGUAUAUGGGGGGGUUCUACUGAGCUAACAUGGAUUUUUUUUUAAAGAUCAUACCAUGGAUCCUUUAGCUAUUUAAUUUUUCAUUGGGGUAAAAUAUUGAAUUUGGCCUUUUAAUGCUACAACCUAUAGAAAUGCAUUGAAUAACACACUCAUAAAUGGCAAAACAGAGUACAAAAAUAAAUAAUAAGGAAUAUGUUUUUGAAUUGUCUGUCCUACAUCUAGGAGAUGUAAUAAAGUUCAGGAUUUACACAUUUAACCCAUUUUUUGGGGUGUCACAAAACUACUUCUAUAUUUGUUUUUAUGUUAAUUAGAUUGACGCACGGGUGCGUUGAUCAACUUUAGGGGUAUUUAAAGCUAUUUUUUUCUGUAACUGUUAAGAGAAUAAAUGUAUACAAUUAUAUGUUUUCUUGUUUUCUAUCUCACAAUUUAGGCCAAAAGCUAUCAGUAUAGGGAAAUAUGAAAACAUAUUUAGACUGGAAUUAAAUGUCCCUGUAAUAUAUUGAUUUAAUGUUAUCAAGCAGGACUAUCAAGUGCUGCAAUACCUGAAAAAGACAUGACCCAACAAGUUUAUCAACACAUCUUGUAUUCCCGAAGUAGGGAGCCAAGCUGUCUCAGC
Molecule: long non-coding RNA, 4832 nt
Organism: Oncorhynchus tshawytscha (Chinook salmon)
Lineage: Eukaryota; Metazoa; Chordata; Actinopteri; Salmoniformes; Salmonidae
Source: Ensembl